This 253-nucleotide ribosomal RNA is filed under the name uncultured bacterium. Its description in RNAcentral is "partial 16S ribosomal RNA". It matches the Rfam family "Bacterial small subunit ribosomal RNA", at positions 524 to 776 of the family's 1533-position model. The record is from RNAcentral.
UACGUAGGGGGCAAGCGUUAUCCGGAUUUACUGGGUGUAAAGGGGGCGCAGACGGCGAUGCAAGCCAGGAGUGAAAGCCCGGGGCCCAACCCCGGGACUGCUCUUGGAACUGCGUGGCUGGAGUGCAGGGGGGGCAGGCGGAAUUCCUGGUGUAGCGGUGAAAUGCGUAGAUAUCAGGAGGAACACCGGUGGCGAAGGCGGCCUGCUGGACUGCAACUGACACUGAGGUACGAAAGCGUGGGGAGCAAACAGG